Molecule: ribosomal RNA, 446 nt
Filed under: uncultured bacterium
Lineage: Bacteria
Description: partial 16S ribosomal RNA
Rfam family: Bacterial small subunit ribosomal RNA
Source: RNAcentral
AACGAACGCUGGCGGCAGGCUUAACACAUGCAAGUCGAGCGCCCCGCAAGGGGAGCGGCAGACGGGUGAGUAACGCGUGGGAAUCUACCCAUCACUACGGAACAACUCCGGGAAACUGGAGCUAAUACCGUAUACGUCCUUCGGGAGAAAGAUUUAUCGGUGAUGGAUGAGCCCGCGUUGGAUUAGCUAGUUGGUGGGGUAAUGGCCCACCAAGGCGACGAUCCAUAGCUGGUCUGAGAGGAUGAUCAGCCACACUGGGACUGAGACACGGCCCAGACUCCUACGGGAGGCAGCAGUGGGGAAUAUUGGACAAUGGCGCAAGCCUGAUCCAACCAUGCCGCGUGAGUGAUGAAGGCCCUAGGGUUGUAAAGCUCUUUCACCGGUGAAGAUAAUGACGGUAACCGGGGAAGAAGCCCCGGCUAACUUCGUGCCAGCAGCCGCAGUAA